UAGUACUAGGAUUUUGGAAAGGG
RNAcentral lists this microRNA (23 nucleotides) under Alligator mississippiensis (American alligator). RNAcentral's name for it is "ami-miR-9598-3p". The record is from miRBase by way of RNAcentral. Lineage: Eukaryota; Metazoa; Chordata; Crocodylia; Alligatoridae.